GAUGAACGCUGGCGGCGUGCCUAAUACAUGCAAGUCGAGCGAACAGACGAGGAGCUUGCUCCUCUGACGUUAGCGGCGGACGGGUGAGUAACACGUGGAUAACCUACCUAUAAGACUGGGAUAACUUCGGGAAACCGGAGCUAAUACCGGAGAAUAUAUUGAACCGCAUGGUUCAAUAGUGAAAGACGGUUUUGCUGUCACUUAUAGAUGGAUCCGCGCCGCAUUAGCUAGUUGGUAAGGUAACGGCUUACCAAGGCGACGAUGCGUAGCCGACCUGAGAGGGUGAUCGCCCACACUGGAACUGGGACACGGUCCAGACUCCUACGGGAGGCAGCAGUAGGGAAUCUUCCGCAAAGGGCGAAAGCCUGACGGAGCAACGCCGCGUGAGUGAUGAAGGUCUUCGGAUCGUAAAGCUCUGUUAUUAGGGAAGAACAAAUUUGUAAGUAACUAUGCACGUCUUGACGGUACCUAAUCAGAAAGCCACGGCUAACUACGUG
This 497-nucleotide ribosomal RNA is filed under the name uncultured bacterium. Its description in RNAcentral is "partial 16S ribosomal RNA". It matches the Rfam family "Bacterial small subunit ribosomal RNA", at positions 28 to 507 of the family's 1533-position model. The record is from RNAcentral.